This 373-nucleotide ribosomal RNA is filed under the name uncultured organism. Its description in RNAcentral is "bacterial SSU rRNA". It matches the Rfam family "Bacterial small subunit ribosomal RNA", at positions 526 to 896 of the family's 1533-position model. The record is from RNAcentral.
CGUAGGGUGCGAGCGUUAAUCGGAAUUACUGGGCGUAAAGCGUGCGCAGGCGGUUUUGUAAGACAGGCGUGAAAUCCCCGGGCUUAACCUGGGAACUGCGUUUGUGACUGCAAGGCUAGAGUACGGCAGAGGGGGGUGGAAUUCCACGUGUAGCAGUGAAAUGCGUAGAGAUGUGGAGGAACACCAAUGGCGAAGGCAGCCCCCUGGGUCGAUACUGACGCUCAUGCACGAAAGCGUGGGUAGCAAACAGGAUUAGAUACCCUGGUAGUCCACGCCCUAAACGAUGUCAACUAGGUGUUGGGUGGGUAAAACCAUUUAGUACCGUAGCUAACGCGAGAAGUUCGACCGCCUGGGGAGUACGGCCGCAAGGUUA